CUAGAGCUAAUACAUGCGAAAGGUCCCGACCUCCCCCGGAGGAAAGGAUGCAUUUAUUAGAUUACAAAAACCAAUGCGGGGCAUUCCAAAACUGCAGGCUCCUCUCGGGGAACCUGCGGGUCCCGGUCUCAACGAUGGUGAUUCAUGAUAACUCUGCGGAUCGCACGGUCUCGAACCGGCGACGAUUCAUUCAAAUUUCUGCCCUAUCAACUUUGAUGGUAGGAUAGAGGCCUACCAUGGUGGCGACGGGUAACGGAGAAUUAGGGUUCGAUUCCGGAGAGGGAGCCUGAGAAAUGGCUACCACUUCCAAGGAAGGCAGCAGGCGCGCAAAAUUACCCAAUCCCCGACCCGGGGAGGUAGUGACAAUAAAUAUCGAUGCAGGACCCGAACAGGGUCUUGUAAUUGGAAUGAGAACAAUCCAAACCCCUUAACGAGUAACCAUUAGAGG
Molecule: ribosomal RNA, 448 nt
Filed under: uncultured eukaryote
Lineage: Eukaryota
Description: bacterial SSU rRNA
Rfam family: Eukaryotic small subunit ribosomal RNA
Source: RNAcentral